Molecule: small RNA, 792 nt
Filed under: Pongo abelii (Sumatran orangutan)
Lineage: Eukaryota; Metazoa; Chordata; Mammalia; Primates; Hominidae
Description: processed transcript
Source: RNAcentral
CUACUUGCCGACCCUCCGGCCACAGGCAUGGGCAGCCCUUGCCCCAGAGCUGAGCAGGCAAAGCCGAGGAGGCCCCAGGCAUGGGGGCACUGCGGAGCCUGCGAGGGUAGGGCCAGCGAGGGCUUAGGAGUCAGGAAGGGACCGAGGGUGGGGCUGCGUCCCGGCUUUCAGGCCCUGGGGCGUCCACCAGCCUCUGCUCACUCUGAGGCUCCAGCCAGGGCACCAAGCCCCAGGACCGUGGGUGGGGCCCAAGGACACCCUGGACCCCCGUUCCAUUCAUGAGAGGCCUUCAGCAUGCCAUGUGUCUGCUGUGGCUGCCCGCAGGGAGGGUGGAGCCUUCUGUAAAUUGCACAUGUGGCCCCAGGGCAUGACAUCCAUGAUGAAGGCCGCACUGGACCUCACCUACCCCAUCACAUCCAUGUUCUCUGGAGCCGGCUUCAACAGCAGCAUCUGCAGCGUCUUCAAGGACCGGCAGAUCAAGGUGCACCCCCACCCUCAGGAGCCCAUACAGCCCCCAGCGCCUGUCCCCUCCUGGCCCCCCACCUCUUGGCCCUGGGUCAGCCUCCCCAGACACGGGACAGGAGCGUGAUGGGAGAGGGCCCGUCUGAGCCCCGUCUGCCCGCAGGACCUGUGGAUUCCUUAUUUCGCCAUCACCACCGACAUCACAGCCUCGGCCAUGCGGGUCCACACCGACGGCUCCCUGUGGCGGUACGUGCGUGCCAGCAUGUCCCUGUCCGGUUACAUGCCCCCUCUCUGUGACCCCAAGGACGGACACCUGCUGAUGGACGGGGG